This is a long non-coding RNA of Scomber scombrus (Atlantic mackerel), 338 nucleotides long. RefSeq lists it as uncharacterized. The transcript is spliced from 3 exons. NCBI's taxonomy places the organism in Eukaryota, Metazoa, Chordata, Actinopteri, Scombriformes, Scombridae. The record is from RefSeq and is a predicted model, not a curated record.
CUCCUAGACCUGAAACAUCAGACAAUAUGGAGCUAAACCCUGGUCCUGUGUAUGAAAACAUCUCAACUCAAAGCACAGAGCAGACUGAUCAUCACUAUGGCAGACUUGACUUCUCUAACACCCAGAGAGAUCUCUACUCCACCAUCAGCCCCGAGAACAGGAGCAAGACCCCCGUUCUGCUGUCAACUUAAGAUCCAACACAUGGCGUCCUCAGGCAAGUCAAGACGAACCCCUGUUCCUGACUGACAGAGGAAGGCUAUGUCAAGGUCUUGGUUUACUACACGCCUCCAUCUCCUCUGCAAACAAUGUGGCCUCCCCUCUGAACUUAACACCUCUCA